This 1350-nucleotide ribosomal RNA is filed under the name Triticum aestivum (bread wheat). RNAcentral's name for it is "partial small subunit ribosomal RNA". The record is from RNAcentral. Lineage: Eukaryota; Viridiplantae; Streptophyta; Magnoliopsida; Poales; Poaceae.
AUGAACGUUCCAUCUGUUAAUGCUCAGAUGACCAUUACCGCAUGGAGGUCUCAGGAGGUUCCACAUAAGCUCGAGCUUCAGCAGAUUUGGCACCAUGUCGAGGGGGUUCCCCAUACGGUUCGUCAUUUUUGGGGCUUAUGGGCUGUUGGUACUUUGAUGGGCAAGACAUUGGAUGUCGAUCUUCUUAGCCUGCGUCGUCGUGGUGUUGUACGUAUUCUCGUGGCUAUGACCAACUCUCAGAUAUUGUCAAAGGAGAACGACGAUGCUGGUCCUUUUGCUGCAACAGAUGUGGUGGUUAAGCUCAAGGGCUACACUUUCUCGUUCAGAAGGGAGCCGGCGGGUUACAUUCCGGACCCUGAUUUUGUCCCGUUCGUUUGGAGACGCAAGGGUGAUGAUGCUGAUGAUGAUAGUGCCGCCAAGGAAAAGGACAAUGAGAUGGACACAUCGGAAUACACCGGGAACCCAUCCAACCAUCCGUCGUCUAGUUCUGCUCCGGCGAAUAACACUAAUGUGACUCAAGUUCAACAACGGGAGCUGCAGACUGUUGGCUCUGGUGGUGCGACGGGAGGUGGUCCUGUGUUGUUGGGAGUCACUUCGUUUAACUCUGCGCCACAGACGCCGAGAGGCAUGGAGCUUGCCGCGGAUCUUAGAGUCAAUUCCACGUUACCUGGAUGUCUCGAAAGAUCCCCUCGGGUUCACCGACAGGAGUUGUCCUCGCCUUCUACACUGCAGGCUGUGGUUGCAUCGCAGCCGUCGUCGCAUUCCCGGCCUGCAUCGUCCCAGUCCGCUGCCCUCCUGUCGGAGCAAGUCACCGGCGGCUCGGCGGGGCGCCCGGACUAUUCUGCAGUACACCUACAACCAGCUGCUAAGGUGGCGUCGCAGCCGCCGUCGUCGACGCGGACAACAACGUCUAAGCCGGCUGUUCCCGAACCGGUGCAGGCUGCCGAUGGUACAGCGCAUGCGGGGUGCCGGCAUCCUGUGGCUACGGUUGAGGCCAAUUGGCAUGCAGCUUAUGUGGACAUACCUAUGCAUGCACGUACCGGGGAAGUGGAGCUACCCAUGCAUGCAUGGAGUGAACCUGGACGUGAAGGGCUACCCCCAAGUGUGCAGCCGUGCAUAGCUGCACCCGCGGCUGCCCUUCGGUCUCUGUCCGCGCCGGACGAGUCUGCGGAGCCGGACGUGUCUGCCUCAUCCAUGCACGAUCCUCCAGUCAGGCUAUCUUCGGAAGUGCCGCCGCGUGUUACGACGGCCGAGACUGCCGGGGAGGUGGUUGCUACUACACCCACAUCCCCCCCUUCAGCGGCGGUGCUUGCGCGACACCCUUCACCAAGAAUGACACCUACACGCUGA